RNAcentral lists this ribosomal RNA (497 nucleotides) under uncultured bacterium. RNAcentral describes it as "partial 16S ribosomal RNA". It matches the Rfam family "Bacterial small subunit ribosomal RNA", at positions 28 to 507 of the family's 1533-position model. The record is from RNAcentral.
GAUGAACGCUGGCGGCGUGCCUAAUACAUGCAAGUCGAGCGAACAGAUGAGGAGCUUGCUCCUCUGACGUUAGCGGCGGACGGGUGAUUAACACGACGAUAACCUACCUAUCAGACUGGCAUAACUUCCGCAUACCGGAGCUAAUACCGGAUAAUAUAUUGAACCGCAUGGUUCAAUAGUGAAAGACGGUUUUGCUGUCACUUAUAGAUGGAUCCGCGCCGCAUUAGCUUGUUGGUAAGGUAACGGCUUACCAAGGCAACGAUGCGUAGCCGACCUGAGAGGGUGAUCGGCCACACUAGAACUAAGACACGGACGAGACUCCUACGGGGGGAAGCAGUAGGGAAUCUUCCGCAAUGGGGGAAAGCCGGACGGAGCAACGCCGCGUGAGUGAUGAAGGUCUUCGGAUCGUAAAACUCUGUUAUUAGGGAAGAACAAAUGUGUAAGUGACUAUGCACGUGUUGACGGUACCUAAUCAGAAAGCCACGGCUAACUACGUG